This 253-nucleotide ribosomal RNA is filed under the name uncultured bacterium. RNAcentral's name for it is "partial 16S ribosomal RNA". It matches the Rfam family "Bacterial small subunit ribosomal RNA", at positions 526 to 779 of the family's 1533-position model. The record is from RNAcentral.
CGGAGGAUGCAAGCGUUAUCCGGAAUGAUUGGGCGUAAAGCGUCCGCAGGUGGCAGUGUAAGUCUGCUGUCAAAGGUCAGGGCUUAACCCUGAACAGGCAGUGGAAACUACACAGCUAGAGUGCGGUGGGGGCAGAGGGAAUUCCCAGUGUAGCGGUGAAAUGCGUAGAGAUUGGGAAGAACACCGGUGGCGAAAGCGCUCUGCUAGGCCGUAACUGACACUCAUGGACGAAAGCUAGGGAGCGAAUGGGAUU